GCUCCGGUGGCUAAGUGGUAGAGCAUGCGCCUCGGAUGCGAAAGGUUGCUAUUUCGAACCCUGGCCGAAUCA
This is a non-coding RNA of Potamilus streckersoni, 72 nucleotides long. The record is from the annotation of a GenBank genome assembly. NCBI's taxonomy places the organism in Eukaryota, Metazoa, Mollusca, Bivalvia, Unionida, Unionidae.